GCUCGCCUACCUCAGUCGGUAAAGCAUGAGACUCUUAAUCUCAGGGUCAUGGGUUCAAACCCCAUGUUGGGUG
This is a non-coding RNA of Protopterus annectens (West African lungfish), 73 nucleotides long. The record is from the annotation of a RefSeq genome assembly. Lineage: Eukaryota; Metazoa; Chordata; Ceratodontiformes; Protopteridae.